Molecule: long non-coding RNA, 726 nt
Filed under: Canis lupus familiaris (dog)
Lineage: Eukaryota; Metazoa; Chordata; Mammalia; Carnivora; Canidae
Description: lncRNA (ENSCAFG00000051401.1, ENSCAFG00845016521.1)
Source: RNAcentral
GCCUGGUGAGCACCUGGCCAGCCAGCACCCCGCGGCUGAGCGUGGGCUUCGUAGUCCAGCCCUGAUUCGAGACAGAGUUGAUCGUAUUGGGUCUUUUAACCACUGCUGUGUGGCCAGAUGUCAAAGCCCCCUUUUCCCCAAGAGCCCACCGACCUAGAGCAUAUCCUCAGUACCUAUGGUUCCUUUCAAACCCCAGCUCCCACUCUACCACUAGUAACACAUUAACCUGGCUUAGGGUCUGCUUAUCUAUUCUUACUUUCUGCCUCGCUGAGUCACAUUCCCUUCUUUGCCAGUGCAUGGGGUUGCCCUUGCUGUCUGCUAUCACAGUGUAGCAUUUCUUUCCCGGGAAGCCUUAGAGUUCUAAUGUCUACAAUGCCGGGUGCUGAGUCAGAAAGAACAGGAUUUCCAGGAGCUACUGGCCUGAUGAGGAGAUGAAGCUUGAUGCCUCCCAGAGGAGCAGGAAACUGGAAGGUGAUAGAGCCACCUGCUGCUCUCUACUUCGCAGAGACUGAGGAGGAGCCUGAGACUGUUCGUGGACAUCCUGUGAAUAUCAGGAAACAUUUUGGAGGGGUUAGAAGAAGGGGAUGUGGCAUUCACAUGUGUGCUUCCAUGGAUUCCAGUCCAUCUUCUCUUGGAAACAAUCAUACCCUGGCAAGUGACCUUUCCUAAGCAAGAACAAAGGUGUUAAAAAGGCUUCCAUCCUCUACUUGCUUUCCUGUGCCCAAA